AGUCGAACGUGAAAGCACUUCGGUGUGAGUAGAGUGGCGGACGGGUGAGUAACGCGUGGGAAUCUACCCAGUAGUGGGGGACAACUACCGGAAACGGUAGCUAAUACCGCAUACGCCCUAUGGGGGAAAGGCUUCGGCCGCUAUUGGAUGAGCCCGCGUCAGAUUAGCUAGUUGGUAGGGUAAAGGCCUACCAAGGCAACGAUCUGUAGCUGGUCUGAGAGGACGAACAGCCACACUGGGACUGAGACACGGCCCAGACUCCUACGGGAGGCAGCAGUGGGGAAUAUUGGACAAUGGGCGAAAGCCUGAUCCAGCAAUGCCGCGUGUGUGAAGAAGGCCUGCGGGUUGUAAAGCACUUUCAGUUGGGAAGAUAAUGACGUUACCAACAGAAGAAGCACCGGCUAAAUCCGUGCCAGCAGCCGCGGUAAUACGGAUGGUGCGAGCGUUAAUCGGAAUUACUGGGCGUAAAGCGCGCGUAGGCGGCUAAGUCAGUCAGAAGUGAAAGCCCCGGGCUCAACCUGGGAAUUGCUUUUGAUACUGCUUAGCUAGAGUUUGGUAGAGGAUAGUGGAAUUCCAGGUGUAGCGGUGAAAUGCGUAGAUAUCUGGAGGAACAUCAGUGGCGAAGGCGACUGUCUGGACCAAAACUGACGCUGAGGUGCGAAAGCGUGGGUAGCAAACAGGAUUAGAUACCCUGGUAGAAGGGC
RNAcentral lists this ribosomal RNA (704 nucleotides) under uncultured Gammaproteobacteria bacterium. RNAcentral's name for it is "bacterial SSU rRNA". It matches the Rfam family "Bacterial small subunit ribosomal RNA", at positions 60 to 794 of the family's 1533-position model. The record is from RNAcentral. Lineage: Bacteria; Pseudomonadati; Pseudomonadota; Gammaproteobacteria.